AGGACCUGGGGGUCCUGGGAGACGCCGAACUGAACGUGAGCCACCAAUGUGCCCUUGACACUGAGAAGGCUAGUGGUCUUCUGGGCUACGUUAUGUGGUCCAAAGCAUUACCAGCAGGGUACACAGAGGAUGGAGUCAGAGGUGGGUGAGCAGGGACCAAUGUCUUAACCUAGCACCAGUGCCCAGGAGCUCUGCAGCUGCCUCAGACCCCUCGCUUUGAGGACAUUUCAGGGGAAGUUGGGACUAAUUCAGCCCCUGUUGGGACUUGCUUCCUUUUGCAGCUGGGGCUUUGCUGAGCACCAUCAGAAGGCCGCUGCAUGUGGCUACAGCAGCCAGGAAGUCAGCGUGGGAAGGGCUCUGCACACUCCUUUCCUUUCUGGCGCUGGGGCUGAUGACAAAUGCAAGCAAGCAGGGCAGCCUGGCACACAAACCGACACGGCACACUCCCCCUGCCGUGCCCCCCUCCACGCUCAGGCAACAUCAAGCACCACUGCAAAGCUCUGCAGUGGCUACGGAGAAAAGAGCUGCCGUGGCGUCCUCUCCUCUCACAGCAAUGAGCUCGGCGCAGGUUUUCCCAGUCUGUCACCUUUUAGGGCAGGUUGUUGAAAAGCCUGUUCGCUUUUCAUCUUGUUCUGCCACAACGGCAGGCAGUGACAGGUUGUUAUCGUUGGCAGUAGAAUUAGGCCAGCGCUGAGAGUCUUUGAAAACUCCACUUUGAGAAGCUGUGUAGACAAUUCAUCAUGUUUAUUAUGUAUUUAUAUGGCGCAAAAUUGUCUGCCUGCAAAACAGCAUUCAUGGAUCUGCGAGGCCAAAUGGUGUAAAUACAUCCAUUUGUGAGAUCUCCU
This is a long non-coding RNA of Oxyura jamaicensis (ruddy duck), 845 nucleotides long. RefSeq lists it as uncharacterized. NCBI's taxonomy places the organism in Eukaryota, Metazoa, Chordata, Aves, Anseriformes, Anatidae. The record is from RefSeq and is a predicted model, not a curated record. The transcript has 3 exons.